RNAcentral lists this ribosomal RNA (303 nucleotides) under uncultured bacterium. Its description in RNAcentral is "partial 16S ribosomal RNA". It matches the Rfam family "Bacterial small subunit ribosomal RNA", at positions 507 to 807 of the family's 1533-position model. The record is from RNAcentral.
AGCAGUCGCCGCGGGAAUACGUAGGGUGCGAGCGUUAAUCGGAAUUACUGGGCGUAAAGCGUGCGCAGGCGGUUAUAUAAGACAGUUGUGAAAUCCCCGGGCUCAACCUGGGAACUGCAUCUGUGACUGUAUAGCUAGAGUACGGUAGAGGGGGAUGGAAUUCCGCGUGUAGCAGUGAAAUGCGUAGAUAUGCGGAGGAACACCGAUGGCGAAGGCAAUCCCCUGGACCUGUACUGACGCUCAUGCACGAAAGCGUGGGGAGCAAACAGGAUUAGAUACCCGCGUAGUCCCUGUCUCUUAUAC